This 62-nucleotide ribosomal RNA is filed under the name Pseudevernia furfuracea. RNAcentral's name for it is "partial 28S ribosomal RNA". Lineage: Eukaryota; Fungi; Ascomycota; Lecanoromycetes; Lecanorales; Parmeliaceae. The record is from RNAcentral.
UUGACCUCGGAUCAGGUAGGGAUACCCGCUGAACUUAAGCAUAUCAAUAGGNGNGGAAGNAA